This is a long non-coding RNA of Salvelinus fontinalis (brook trout), 238 nucleotides long. RefSeq lists it as uncharacterized. The record is from RefSeq and is a predicted model, not a curated record. NCBI's taxonomy places the organism in Eukaryota, Metazoa, Chordata, Actinopteri, Salmoniformes, Salmonidae. The transcript is spliced from 3 exons.
CUGGCCUAGCUGGAAAGAUAGACGCAGAGGGUGUGGAGUGCCUGAUCAAGCACCUGGGCUACAAGCCUGCGUAGUACAAGAUGGGCAGGACCAAGAUCUUCAUCUGUCACCCUAGAACUCUGCUCGCCACCGAAGAUGCCUUUGAGGUCUGCAAGCAUAAGCUGGCUACAAGGAUCCAGGCAAAGUACAAAGGCUACAUACAGCGUGAAGGGAGACUACAUGAGACAGAGAGAAGCAG